UGGGGGAUAUUGCGCAAUGGGGGAAACCCUGACGCAGCAACGCCGCGUGAAGGAAGAAGGCCUUCGGGUUGUAAACUUCUUUAAGUGUGGAAGAUAAUGACGGUACACACAGAAUAAGCCACGGCUAACUACGUGCCAGCAGCCGCGGUAAUACGUAGGGGGCAAGCGUUGUUCGGAAUUACUGGGCGUAAAGCGCACGCAGGCGGCGUGACGCGUCAGAAGUGAAAUCCCCGGGCUCAACCUGGGAGCUGCUUUUGAAACGGUCAUGCUUGAAUCAUGGAGAGGGUAGCGGAAUUCCGAGUGUAGAGGUGAAAUUCGUAGAUAUUCGGAAGAACACCGGUGGCGAAGGCGGCUACCUGGCCAUGUAUUGACGCUCAGGUGCGAAAGCGUGGGGAGCAAACA
Molecule: ribosomal RNA, 402 nt
Filed under: uncultured bacterium
Lineage: Bacteria
Description: bacterial SSU rRNA
Rfam family: Bacterial small subunit ribosomal RNA
Source: RNAcentral